This 83-nucleotide transfer RNA is filed under the name Candidatus Pacebacteria bacterium CG_4_10_14_0_8_um_filter_43_12. Its description in RNAcentral is "tRNA-Ser". It matches the Rfam family "tRNA". Rfam says of the family: Transfer RNA (tRNA) molecules are approximately 80 nucleotides in length. Lineage: Bacteria; Bacillati; Minisyncoccota. The record is from RNAcentral. RNAcentral also lists the same sequence under 1 other name.
GGAGGUGUCGCAUAGUGGUCGAUUGCAAACGCUUGGAAAGCGUUGACCUUCGGGUUUCGUGGGUUCGAAUCCCUCCACCUCCG